GGGGCCAUAGCUCAGUGGUACAGCCUCUCCUUAGCAUGCAGAGGGUCCCAGGUUCAAUCCCCGGCAACUCCA
This 72-nucleotide transfer RNA is filed under the name Sphaerodactylus townsendi. RNAcentral describes it as "tRNA-Ala". The record is from RNAcentral. Lineage: Eukaryota; Metazoa; Chordata; Lepidosauria; Squamata; Sphaerodactylidae.